GCUACGGGUGGCAGCAGUGGGGAAUAUUGCACAAUGGGGGAAACCCUGAUGCAGCGACGCCGCGUGCGUGAAGAAGUAUCUCGGUACGUAAAGCUCUAUCAGCAGGGAAGAAAAUGACGGUACCUGACUAAGAAGCCCCGGCUAACUACGUGCCAGCAGCCGCGGUAAUACGUAGGGGGCAAGCGUUAUCCGGAGUUACUGGGUGUAAAUGGAACGUAGACGGGAGAAAGAGGCUGGAGUGAAAUCCCGGGGCUUAACCCCGGAACUGCUUUGGAAACUGUGCGGCUGGAGUGCAGGAGGGGUAAGCGGAAUUCCUAGUGUAGCGGUGAAAUGCGUAGAUAGUAGGAGGAACACCGGUGGCGAAGGCGGCUUACUGGACUGUAACUGACGUUGAGGCUCGAAAGCGUGGGGAGCAAACAGGAUUAGAUACCCUAGUAGUC
This 440-nucleotide ribosomal RNA is filed under the name uncultured bacterium. Its description in RNAcentral is "partial 16S ribosomal RNA". It matches the Rfam family "Bacterial small subunit ribosomal RNA", at positions 338 to 795 of the family's 1533-position model. The record is from RNAcentral.